This 254-nucleotide ribosomal RNA is filed under the name uncultured bacterium. RNAcentral's name for it is "partial 16S ribosomal RNA". It matches the Rfam family "Bacterial small subunit ribosomal RNA", at positions 524 to 776 of the family's 1533-position model. The record is from RNAcentral.
UACGUAGGGUGCGAGCGUUGUCCGGAAUUACUGGGCGUAAAGCGCGUGUAGGUGGUGGGACAAGUCUGCUGUGAAAGCGCCUGGCUUAACCAGGCGAGGUCGGCGGAAACUGUCCGACUAGAGGACGGUAGAGGGGGGUGGAAUUCCCGGUGUAGUGGUGAAAUGCGUAGAGAUCCGGAGGAACACCAGUGGCGAAGGCGACACGCUGGGCCGUACCUGACACUGAACCGCGACAGGCAUGGGGAGCAAACAGG